CCUACGGGUGGCAGCAGUGGGGAAUAUUGCACAAUGGGGUAAACCCUGAUGCAGCGACGCCGCGUGAGUGAAGACGUAAUUCGUUAUGUUAAACUCUAUCAGCAGGGGAGAAAAUGACGGUACCUGAGUAAGAAGCCCCGGCUCCCUACGUGCCAGCAGCCGCGGUAAUACGUAGGGGGCAAGCGUUAUCCGGAUUUACGGGGUGUAAAGGGGGCGUAGACGGCAGUGCAAGUCUGGAGUGAAAGGCGGGGGCUCAACCCCCGGACUGCUCUGGAAACUGUACGGCUGGAGUGAAGGAGAGGUAAGUGGAAUUUGUAGUGUAGCGGUGAAAUGCGUAGAUAUUAGGCGGAACACCAGUGGCGAAGGCGGCUUACUGGACUGUAACUGACGUUGAGGCUCGAAAGCGUGGGGAGCAAACAGGAUUAGAUACCCUUGUAGUC
Molecule: ribosomal RNA, 440 nt
Filed under: uncultured bacterium
Lineage: Bacteria
Description: partial 16S ribosomal RNA
Rfam family: Bacterial small subunit ribosomal RNA
Source: RNAcentral